RNAcentral lists this ribosomal RNA (412 nucleotides) under Mandarina sp. A AD-2005. RNAcentral describes it as "partial 16S ribosomal RNA". Lineage: Eukaryota; Metazoa; Mollusca; Gastropoda; Stylommatophora; Camaenidae. The record is from RNAcentral. RNAcentral also lists the same sequence under 1 other name.
AGCUUUGAGCUAAAUAUAAUAUAAUAUUAGUUAUUUUUAAAGGUGUUGUAUAACCUUAUUAAAAAUUAUAUUUAGGGGUGAUAGGCUUUUCAAAAUCUAGGAUAUCUUGAAUCUAAUUAAAAGUAUGUAGUACAUUUAACACGACUAUAAAGUGAUUAGGCUUUAUAGAAACUAUUAAACCUUAAGAUAUAAUUAUUUAUUAUAAUUUAAUAACUAACUAUAUAAAUAAAUUAACAUUCAUAUAUUAUAAUUUAUAAAAGAGUAAUUAGAUAGAUUUAAGUUUGUAAAUAAUUGUAAUAAUGUUAAUAUUAGUAUAUAAUUUAUAUUUAUAUGAUGAACUCGGCAAAAAUGCUUCUCAACUGUUUAUCAAAAACAUAACUAUGUGAAAUAAUACAUAGCGGUUUCUGCUCAA